CUAUCAGCUUGUUGGUGGGGUAAUGGCCUACCAAGGCAAAGACGGGUAGCCGGUCUAAGAGGAUGGUCGGCCACACUGGGACUGAGACACUGCCCAGACUCCUACGGGAGGCUGCAGUCGAGAAUCUUUCGCAAUGCCCGAAAGGGUGACGAGGCGACGCCGCGUGAGCGAAGAAGGCCUUAGGGUUGUAAAGCUCUGUCGAGGGUUAGGAAAUGCAGGUGCGUUAAUAGCGCACUUGCUUGACUAAGGCUCCAGAGGAAGCCACGGCUAACUCUGUGCCAGCAGCCGCGGUAAUACAGAGGCGGCAAGCGUUGUUCGGAAUUAUUGGGCGUAAAGAGCACGUAGGCGGCCUUGCAAGUCAGUUGUGAAA
This 370-nucleotide ribosomal RNA is filed under the name uncultured anaerobic ammonium-oxidizing bacterium. RNAcentral describes it as "bacterial SSU rRNA". It matches the Rfam family "Bacterial small subunit ribosomal RNA", at positions 238 to 599 of the family's 1533-position model. The record is from RNAcentral.